GGUUCCAGUAAAGUGUAGAGGUGCCAUCACGUUCGCUUCACACGCGAAAGGUCUCCGGUUCGAUCCCGGACGGAACCA
Non-coding RNA from Trichonephila inaurata madagascariensis, 78 nucleotides. NCBI's taxonomy places the organism in Eukaryota, Metazoa, Arthropoda, Arachnida, Araneae, Nephilidae. The record is from the annotation of a GenBank genome assembly.